UACAGAGGUCUCAAGCGUUGUUCGGAUUCAUUGGGCGUAAAGGGUUCGUAGGCGGUGCGGCAAGUUGGGAGUGAAAUCUCUGGGCUUAACCCAGAGGCUGCUUCCAAAACUGCUGUGCUUGAGUGUGGGAGAGGCGCGUGGAAUUGCAGGUGUAGCGGUGAAAUGCGUAGAUAUCAGGAGGAACACCUGUGGUGUAGACAGCUUACUGGACCACUUCUGACGCUGAGACACGAAAGCGUGGGUAGCAAACAGG
RNAcentral lists this ribosomal RNA (253 nucleotides) under uncultured prokaryote. RNAcentral describes it as "partial 16S ribosomal RNA". It matches the Rfam family "Bacterial small subunit ribosomal RNA", at positions 524 to 776 of the family's 1533-position model. The record is from RNAcentral.